This 704-nucleotide long non-coding RNA is filed under the name Nicotiana benthamiana. RNAcentral describes it as "long non-coding RNA (NBEN_LNC006301)". The record is from RNAcentral. Lineage: Eukaryota; Viridiplantae; Streptophyta; Magnoliopsida; Solanales; Solanaceae.
UUUGAAAUAUAUGUACUUAUUUUGCAAACAUAAUUACUACUUGUUAAUGAACGUCCUCUGAAUUUAACUAGAUGGCGGUUUUUAUGUCUAUUUUUCCGUUGUCUUACAAGAUAAAACAACUCGACCUAUUCAAAAGGUCUUUGAAUAGAACCUCCGAAAUUAUUAGGAAAUGUAACCCAAAAAAAAUUUCUUUCUAAAACCUUAUCUAUACCAAAAACAUCAAACCUUGAACCAUUAAAGCUGAGAGUUUCAUCAUAUCCUUCUACCCUUUUCCUUUCCAUUUUCUAUAUCUUCAAUUGAUUCGUCAUGGUUUCAAAAUGGAUGGUAAUGACGACCUUUAUUUUCUACUGGAUAUUGAUCAUUUUAUCUCUCUUCGCCGCCAUUGUUCUUGUUGUACUUAUCUUGCAUCAUUUGGUCGAAGGUUUCAAAGGACUCGUAAUAUACAUACGAAGGACAAAGGAUGAAAGGACUAGAGCUGUACGUGUUGUGGAUGAAUCACAAUUCAAGGAUGUUACAAACAAUAAUACCGUGCAUUUUCAAGUAUAAUCUGAGAUCAAUUCUCACUGUCUCCUGUAAUAGAGCAAAAAAAACGAGGCAUGAACAUGACGACGUUUUUAUCUUGCAUGCAUGGAGAGAUUAAGGAAUUUUCUCAGUUUUGGCAUCGAUUACGCCUAAACCCUAAUUUUAACGAGGAAGAAUUCUUA